CCGCGCCCUCACCCCGGCCCUGCCCCCUCCCGGCCCGCCCCCCGGAGCCGGUCAGCCGAGAGGACCCCGGGGCGGAGGGCGGGGACCCGCGGGCGGGGGCCGGCUCCUGUUGCUUCCGCUCCCCGCAGCGGGGGCCUGGGUGGUGGGGACUGUGCGCCCGGAGCUGGGUCUGGCCGGAAGAGUCAAUCUCCCCCCAAGGCCGGAGGGCGGGUGUGAGAUCGGGGCAGUAGAGGAAGGGGCUUGGGGCGGGAAUGAGGGGUCGGGUCGGGCAGAAGACUAGCUAAACCGGGCCUUUGUCUCCGGGGUGCUCGCUGUUCCCCUGCGUGGCCCCUCCUGCCUGGCAGGUGAGGCGGGGCCAGCCCGUGGGGCUCCCCAGACUGUCGCAGCUCCUCAGCGUUGGAGCGAAGGUUCCAGAAAUGACCCAUUUCUGGGCCAGCAGAACAGGAGGUGGAAAGAUGGCAGAGCUUCUGCCGGGUGACAGCUCACGGGAAGGGGAGAGUCCUGGGCUCUGAGAGACGCUGGGGCAGCGGUGUUUUCUCUGCCUGCUUGUGGAGAUUAAGAAAGUGAGCCCAUGUGCAGAGCUCUUCAGCCGGAACUCAAGUGCCCUGCGCACACCCUGCUGCAGUCGGAACCAGACGUGACUUCAGGCUUCGGAGAUAAAAAUAAAUUCUCUUUGCCCCCCACCUGGUAAAAUUAGAAACUUAAUUAAAAUGUCAUCAGGUGCAGCCACAAAUUCCAUGUACCCGGUUUGAAAUGUUAUUAAUAAUAAUGUUCGCACUUGCAUUACUUGCCAUCUUCAAAGCCUUUCGUAAACAGCAGUCUUUUCCAGCUCUUGGGAGAACGUUUGCUGAGCAGG
This is a long non-coding RNA of Bos taurus (domestic cattle), 856 nucleotides long. NCBI's taxonomy places the organism in Eukaryota, Metazoa, Chordata, Mammalia, Artiodactyla, Bovidae. The record is from Ensembl.